RNAcentral lists this ribosomal RNA (519 nucleotides) under uncultured Glomus. RNAcentral describes it as "SSU rRNA". It matches the Rfam family "Eukaryotic small subunit ribosomal RNA", at positions 569 to 1092 of the family's 1831-position model. The record is from RNAcentral. Lineage: Eukaryota; Fungi; Glomeromycota; Glomeromycetes; Glomerales; Glomeraceae.
AGCAGCCGCGGUAAUUCCAGCUCCAAUAGCGUAUAUUAAAGUUGUUGCAGUUAAAAAGCUCGUAGUUGAAUUUCGGGAUCAGAUUGUUGGUCGUGCCUCGGUACGCACUGGCAUUAUUGGUUCCUACCUUCUGAAGAACCGCGAUGUCAUUAAUUUGGUGUCGUGGGGAAUCAGGACUGUUACUUUGAAAAAUUAGAGUGUUUAAAGCAGGCGCACGCUUGAAUACAUUAGCAUGGAAUAAUGAAAUAGGACGUUUGAUUCUAUUUUGUUGGUUUCUAGGAUCGACGUAAUGAUUAAUAGGGAUAGUUGGGGGCAUUAGUAUUCAAUUGUCAGAGGUGAAAUUCUUGGAUUUAUUGAAGACUAACUACUGCGAAAGCAUUUGCCAAGGAUGUUUUCAUUAAUCAAGAACGAAAGUUAGGGGAUCGAAGACGAUCAGAUACCGUCGUAGUCUUAACCAUAAACUAUGCCGACUAGGGAUCGGAUGAUGUUAAUUUUUAAUGACUCAUUCGGCGCCUUAAC